GAACUUGCUCUUUUCAGAGCAACCUUUUUAUUCAUUAAAUAUAUAU
Non-coding RNA from Struthio camelus australis, 46 nucleotides. The record is from Rfam. NCBI's taxonomy places the organism in Eukaryota, Metazoa, Chordata, Aves, Struthioniformes, Struthionidae.